This 663-nucleotide long non-coding RNA is filed under the name Manacus vitellinus (golden-collared manakin). RNAcentral describes it as "lncRNA (ENSMVIG00005019304.1)". The record is from RNAcentral. Lineage: Eukaryota; Metazoa; Chordata; Aves; Passeriformes; Pipridae.
GGGGCUUGGAGCAACCUGGGAUGGUGGAAGGUGUCCCUGCCCAUGGCAGGGGGUGGAAUGAGAUGAUCUUCAAGGUCCCUUCCAACACAAACCAUUCCUUGACUCCAUGCCUCUGUGACAUAGGACCAGUUGGACACAUCCUGGAAGGACCACACAGAGCUUUUGAAGGAACAGGGGGAGGCUCAGAGUUCUGUCUGCAGUCCUUGUCUCCCCAAAGGCUGCUUUUGUUUUGCUGCCUCAGACCAAGUGGCUUCUGUGCUUGUUGUCACCCUCAGAAACAGCAAAUAUUCUCCAAAACACCCUCCCAAGGAUUUGCUAAAUCUGGAGUAGGAACACAGAGAAAAGGGAGUCCACUCCUGCCAGUUUGGAGCCCACCAGGAUGCCUUUGGCAAAGGAGCAAGAGCUGCAGCCAGGAAAAGCUCCUGGCUCCCUGCAGUGCCAAGCUGAAACGUUUUCAAGCUUGAUCUUCUUCAAUUGAUUUGCUUUGUUAAGCCAAGUGGUGGGAUUGUAAGAGAGAAAAAUUCCUAAUGAGAGUGAGGAAAAUGGAACACACUAAAAAUUCUGGAAUGAAAAGAAGAAAGUUGAUUGAUGACCCCCAGAGAAAUACUUGGCUUAGAAACUUACUUAAAUAUCACUGAAUAAAUCUUUAUGUUUGUUAUUAGA